Cinara cedri is the source of this 222-nucleotide non-coding RNA. The record is from the annotation of a GenBank genome assembly. NCBI's taxonomy places the organism in Eukaryota, Metazoa, Arthropoda, Insecta, Hemiptera, Aphididae.
GUGUUAAUUGUAUGUUUAUCUAAGCAUUCAAGCAACUAUCACUUAACUUUAUCUACAUAUUUUAAAAUAUAUCUUUAUACAACACUAUAUACACAGUGUACACCACAUAACAGUGUAAUUUCCAUUUCUUCGUACCUGCUGAUGUAAUAAGUACGGAAAACCGCCCCAAGUUGUUAUUCGCAAUGAUAAAUAAGUAAUAAUUUCUUAUGAACGAAUAUUGUA